This 495-nucleotide ribosomal RNA is filed under the name uncultured bacterium. RNAcentral describes it as "partial 16S ribosomal RNA". It matches the Rfam family "Bacterial small subunit ribosomal RNA", at positions 28 to 507 of the family's 1533-position model. The record is from RNAcentral.
GACGAACGCUGGCGGCGUGCCUAAUACAUGCAAGUAGAACGCUGAAGGAGGAUCUUGCUCUUCUGGAUGAGUUGCGAACGGGUGAGUAACGCGUAGGUAACCUGCCUGGUAGCGGGGGAUAACUAUUGGAAACGAUAGCUAAUACCGCAUAAGAGUAGAUGUUGCAUGACAUUUACUUGAACGGUGCACUUGCAUCGCUACCAGCUGGACCUGCGUUGUAUUAGCUUGUUGGGGGGGUAACGGCUUACCAAGGCGACGAUACAUAGCCGAACGGAGAAGGUGAUCAGCCACCCUGGGACUGAGACACGGCCCAGAGUCCCUCGGGAAGGAGCAGGAGGGAAACUUCGGGCAUGGACGGAAGUCUGACCGCAAAACGCCGCGUGAGUGAAGAAGGUUUUCGGAUCGUAAAGGUCUGUUGUAAGAGAAGAACGAGUGUGAGAGUGGAAAGUUCACAAUGUGACGGUACCUGAAGAGAAAGCGACGGCUAACUACGUG